CGGUGGAGUAUGUGGUUUAAUUCGAUGCAACGCGAAGAACCUUACCUGGUCUUGACAUCCCGGAGACCCUUAGGAAACUAGGGGGUGCUUCCAUCUGGAAGAAUCUGGAGACAGGUGCUGCAUGGCUGUCGUCAGCUCGUGUCGUGAGAUGUUGGGUUAAGUCCCGCAACGAGCGCAACCCUUGCCUUUAGUUGCCAGCAGUUCGGCUGGGCACUCUAAAGGGACUGCCGGUGUUAAACCGGAGGAAGGUGGGGAUGACGUCAAGUCCUCAUGGCCUUUAUGACCAGGGCUACACACGUACUACAAUGGCCGAUACAAAGGGCAGCGACACUGCGAGGUGAAGCCAAUCCCGUAAAAUCGGUCUCAGUCCGGAUUGGAGUCUGCAACUCGACUCCAUGAAGUUGGAAUCGCUAGUAAUCGUGGAUCAGCAUGCCACGGUGAAUACGUUCCCGGGCCUU
Molecule: ribosomal RNA, 458 nt
Filed under: uncultured Desulfobulbus sp.
Lineage: Bacteria; Pseudomonadati; Thermodesulfobacteriota; Desulfobulbia; Desulfobulbales; Desulfobulbaceae
Description: bacterial SSU rRNA
Rfam family: Bacterial small subunit ribosomal RNA
Source: RNAcentral